This 1237-nucleotide ribosomal RNA is filed under the name bacterium enrichment culture clone JCA1. Its description in RNAcentral is "partial 16S ribosomal RNA". It matches the Rfam family "Bacterial small subunit ribosomal RNA", at positions 46 to 1254 of the family's 1533-position model. The record is from RNAcentral.
GGAUUAGGCAUGCAAGUCGAACGAUAUCCAGUUUGUAGCAAUACAGGCUGGUGACAGUGGCGGAAGGGUGAGGAACACGUGGACAACCUGCCCUUGAGUUGGGGAUAACCCCGCGAAAGCGGGACUAAUACCGGAUACGAUGGUCUGCCGCAUGGUGGAUUGAUCAAAGAUGGGGAGCCGCAAGGUCCUGUCGCUCAAGGAGGGGUCCGCGUCCUAUCAGCUUGUUGGCGGGGUAACGGCCCACCAAGGCUUACGGGUAGCUGGUCUGAGAGGAUGGUCAGCCACACUGGGACUGAGACACUGCCCAGACUCCUACGGGAGGCUGCAGUCGAGGAUCAUUCGCAAUGGGCGCAAGCCUGACGGUGCGACGCUGCGUGGAGGAUGAAGGCCCUCGGGUUGUAAACUCCUGUCGUGUGGGAACAAUAGUCUGACCGUUAACACCGGUUGGAAGUGAUAGUACCGCAAAAGGAAGCCACGGCUAACUCUGUGCCAGCAGCCGCGGUAAUACAGAGGUGGCAAGCGUUGUUCGGAUUUACUGGGCGUAAAGGGUGCGUAGGUGGCUUUGUAUGUCGGGCGUGAAAUCCCACUGCUCAACGGUGGAACGCCGCCCGAAACUGCAGGGCUAGAGUGCAGGAGAGGAGAGCGGAAUUCUUGGUGUAGCGGUGGAAUGCGUUGAUAUCAAGAAGAACACCAGUGGCGUAGGCGGCUCUCUGGAACGCAACUGACGCUGAGGCGCGAAAGUCGGGGGAGCAAACAGGAUUAGAUACCCUGGUAGUCCCGACCUUAAACGGUGCACACUUGGGGUGGGGGGAUUUCACCCCCCCCCCGUCCCGGAGCUAACGCGUUAAGUGUGCCGCCUGGGGAGUACGGCCGCAAGGUUAAAACUCAAAGAAAUUGACGGGGGCCCGCACAAGCAGAGGAGCAUGUGGCUUAAUUCGAUGCAACGCGAAGAACCUUACCCGGGUUUGACAUGCAGCUGCACGGCCUAUGAAAGUAGGCCUCCUUCGAGGGUGCUGCACAGGUGCUGCAUGGCUGUCGUCAGUUCGUGCCGUGAGGUGUUUGGUUAAGUCCAGCAACGAACGCAACCCCUGUGUCCAGUUGCCAGCGCGUAAUGGCGGGAACUCUGGACGGACUGCCCGUUCACACGGGAGGAAGGUGGGGAUGACGUCAAGUCAGUAUGGCCCUUACAUCCGGGGCUGCACACGUGCUACAAUGGCCGGUACGAAGGGAAGCAAAG